CCUACGGGAGGCAGCAGUGGGGAAUAUUGCACAAUGGGCGAAAGCCUGAUGCAGCGACGCCGCGUGAGGGAUGACGGCCUUCGGGUUGUAAACCUCUUUCAGCAGGGAAGAAGCGAAAGUGACGAUACCUGCAGAAGAAGCACCGGCUAACUACGUGCCAGCAGCCGCGGUAAU
Molecule: ribosomal RNA, 174 nt
Filed under: uncultured bacterium
Lineage: Bacteria
Description: partial 16S ribosomal RNA
Rfam family: Bacterial small subunit ribosomal RNA
Source: RNAcentral